Molecule: ribosomal RNA, 208 nt
Filed under: uncultured bacterium
Lineage: Bacteria
Description: partial 16S ribosomal RNA
Rfam family: Bacterial small subunit ribosomal RNA
Source: RNAcentral
AGCGCAGACGGUUAUUUAAGUCUGAAGUGAAAGCCCUCAGCUCAACUGAGGAAUGGCUUUGGAAACUGGAUGACUUGAGUGCAGUAGAGGAAAGUGGAACUCCAUGUGUAGCGGUGAAAUGCGUAGAUAUAUGGAAGAACACCAGUGGCGAAGGCGGCUUUCUGGACUGUAACUGACGUUGAGGCUCGAAAGGUGUGGGUAGCAAACA